GGACGAACGCUGGCGGCGUGCUUAACACAUGCAAGUCGAACGAGAAUCUGUGGAAAGAGGAUUCGUCCAAUUGAAGCAGAGGACAGUGGCGGACGGGUGAGUAACGCGUGAGGAUCCUGCCUUUCAGAGGGGGACAACAGUUGGAAACGACUGCUAAUACAGCAUAAGCCCACGGGUCGGCAUCGACCAGAGGGAAAAGGAGCAAUCCGCUUUGAGAUGGCCUCGCGUCCGAUUAGCUAGUUGGUGAGGUAACGGCCCACCAAGGCAACGAUCGGUAGCCGGACUGAGAGGUUGAACGGCCACAUUGGGACUGAGACACGGCCCAGACUCCUACGGGAGGCAGCAGUGGGGAAUAUUGCACAAUGGGGGAAACCCUGAUGCAGCGACGCCGCGUGGAGGAAGAAGGUCUUCGGAUUGUAAACUCCUGUUGUUGAGGAAGAUAAUGACGGUACUCAACAAGGAAGUGACGGCUAACUACGUGCAGCAGCCGCGGUAAAACGUAGGUCACAAGCGUUGUCCGGAAUUACUGGGUGUAAAGGGAGCGCAGGCGGGAAGACAAGUUGGAAGUGAAAUCUAUGGGCUCAACCCAUAAACUGCUUUC
This 601-nucleotide ribosomal RNA is filed under the name uncultured bacterium. RNAcentral's name for it is "bacterial SSU rRNA". It matches the Rfam family "Bacterial small subunit ribosomal RNA", at positions 27 to 628 of the family's 1533-position model. The record is from RNAcentral.